UUGGCAGUGUUCCGACCUAUGGCUCGCAUCCCGAGAAGUGAGGUUUAAAGCCGAGCACGAAAACCCGAAAAAUCGGAUUUUUGGUUAGCUCUCGGGUUGCCUUCAGAGGGCUGUGUACCGGUACGGGAGUGAUGGCUGUACCGGUACAGCCAUCGACGUUGGCCGCUUCUCAGCCAACCCGAGGCUCGGGCUGGGCGUUUUCGCAGAAGGUGUACCGGUACGCUGGCCCGUGUACCGGUACGCAGUGCAGAUUCUGAGCAGUUUGAACUGCAGGGGGUUUUUCGCAAUUGUGGCCUUCUAUAUAGCCACCCACGCCCCUAGGGCUCUCCCUGAGCUUGGCACCAGCAAGGAGAAAGGUGAGGGAGCUCUCCAUACCUCCUCAUUCCUUUUCCUUGAUUUUUGCUUGGGUUUUUAGAGAUUAAUCACCUCUUUUGCUCCUUUUUGGGUUUUGGAGGCUAUUCCACCAUUGGAGCUUGGGUUUGGAGCUUGUUGGAGGAGAGAUUCUUGGACCUUGAGGGUUUUGAACCUUGUUGGAGGCUUCUAAGAGGUUGGUGGCUUAUUCUCUUCCUCUAGAUUUUGGUUUUAAUGCUUUGUAGUAGAUCAAACCCUAGAAAUGGAAAUUUAGGAUUUAUUUGGGCAUUUUGCAUCUAGGGCUUUUGGAGCUAGAUUGAUUGGAUUAGAACCUUCCUUGGGCUUGGAUUGGAAGGGUUCUAGCUCUCUUUUGAAGCCUAGGAGAGGAUUCUUACUCUUGAGGUGAGUUUUGACCCUUUCGCUAAAUGGUUAAUGUUUGAGCUUAGCGUCAUUCGUUUCGAUUGGGUGACACUUAUUUUCCCACCGUUAGGGUACUAGGAGUGUGGUGGACGCCUUCGUCGUGGCAAACGAGAGCUUUCAUUGACGUCGGUGGGUUUGACCUAGCCUAUCAUAUGAGAAAUUCUCAUAUUUGGUUAAAUAUGUUCCGCAAAUUGGAAAAGCAUGCAUAUUCAUAUUAAAUGUAUUUAUUGUGAAUUUUAGAAUGCUUAAAAGGCCUAUGUUACAUAUAAUGAAAUUUUGGACCUCUAUGUAGUAGAGAGUAGCUUGGUAGGCCUAUAGUUGCAUUUAGCAUUCUAUAUGAGAUGUGGUUUCAUGUUUCUAUAGUGUAAAUGAGUUUGGAUUCAUGCAUUUUAACCUAAGUUUACUUCAGACAUGAAAGUUGACAAAUUGCCAUAUAGGGCUAUUGUACUAGAAUGAAUGCGAUUUGGAGAGCUAAUGUCAUCAGGCGGCAUUGAGCUCGGGACAUAUGUGAACCUAGUGGUUAGAGCCAUUGAGGGAUUUGGUUUAUGUUGAACAUUAAAUAUCUAAGUGUCAUAAAGAGGCACUAGACCUUGAAAUUGUUGAAACGUCACAUUAUGACUUAAACUAGAUCUUCGGGAUGCUAGUGACUAUACCAUGUUAGAGACAUGAGGAUUGGAUACUUGAGACUUGGACUAUGCUUGCUUGCCAUUUGUGCUCAUUCGCACAUGCUUGUGAGGGUCGCUCCCUACAAGCCGGCACUCCGGAGUUAGCCUACGCGACUUUUGAUCGCUCGUGCGGUAUUGAGAAGCCUACGGGGUCGAGUGGGACAGACACAUUCCAAGAGUAGGGAUGUUGGGCUACCACAGGCACUUAGGCGGCACAAGCCGGACUACCUUUGGUAGGUCCUUAAUUGGAAAUGGAAAUGGAAAUCGACACAGUGUUGAGUUUAUUAUAAUCACUACUUAAUAGAGAAUAGUAGUUGGAUUACUUAGACUUACUUCUAGCAUAGUUUGGGGUACUUGGAUAUACAUACAUAUAUGUAGCAUGCUAGGAGAUGUUGCUUAUUGCAUUCAUAUAUAUACAUUGUUGCCAUGAUAAAGCAUGAUCUUCAUAAUCUCAUAAAGCAAAUAAUGAUUAUUACUUGUGGUUAUGUUGGGACGUACUUGUUCAUCAUAAAAUAGGUGUACAUCAUAUUUGACACAAUGUAACACCUCAGCAUUUCUAAUUAUGUUUUCAUAAAUGCAAUUUAUUCAUUACUAUUGCUCUUCUCUGUCUUACCCUUUUCUUUUGGGGCCUAGUGGUGCAUUGAGCUGAGGUCAGUAAUUGCCCACUGGGAACUAUAAAUUAUAGUUCUCACGCCCUGUGUUUUAUGUUUUCUUUCAGAGCCUUCCACGCCGGGAGAGGCUAGGGACCGUGGGAAGGGAGUUGCUUCGAGCUAGUUUCCUUCGAGGGCGAUUCGAUAGGUGGUCUAUCUCUCGUUAUUUUAUUUUGUGAGAGGUUGAGAGUUUUACCAGUGUAUUAGAGACCACCAUUUUUGUACUUUCGAGACUGAUAGUGUACUACUUAUGGUUUCUUUUAUCGUCUAGCUUUAUCUCUUUACUUUGGUGUAGAUGAUAGAACUUUACUCGCUCUGAUAUCAUUAGUUGCUAGUUAUUUUAUUUCUUUAUUUGUUCUAUCUCUUGCUUUACUUCGGCUUUUAUUGUAGACGCCUUAUAUGUGUAGACAUAUGGCGGGUCUGGGCACGCUACCGGGAGGGCCUCCGCCGGUCCCGGGGCGUGACACUGCGGGUUGUCCACACCCUCACGUUCGAAUCCAGAACGCCUUCA
RNAcentral lists this long non-coding RNA (2597 nucleotides) under Ananas comosus (pineapple). RNAcentral describes it as "long non-coding RNA (ACOM_LNC037953)". The record is from RNAcentral. Lineage: Eukaryota; Viridiplantae; Streptophyta; Magnoliopsida; Poales; Bromeliaceae.